AAGUCGUAACAAGGUUUCCGUAGGUGAACCUGCGGAAGGAUCAUUAUAGAAUUUUAAGAUUGAAGGUUGUGCUGGCUUUUCGGAGCAUGUGCACGCCUUUGGUCGAAAUCUUCUCCUUCAACCACUGUGCACCUUUUGUGGAAUCUGUUGCAGAAAAUGCGAAUGGAGACUAUGCGCGCUUAACCCCGCGCUCGUCUUGUUAAAGUGCAUAUAUGCGCAGGUUUCACGUCUUAUUACACACUAUAUAAACCAACCUCAGAAUGUAUCGUAUAGAGUUGGGACUCCGCGCGCCCUUCUUUACACAAUGUCUAUACAACUUUCGACAACGGAUCUCUUGGCUCUC
Molecule: unclassified non-coding RNA, 343 nt
Filed under: fungal sp.
Lineage: Eukaryota; Fungi
Description: partial internal transcribed spacer region
Rfam family: Eukaryotic small subunit ribosomal RNA (bases 1-46)
Source: RNAcentral